CAUGAACCGGGUUCCAGAGAGUCCACCGUGACCGUGAAGGUCGUAGUGGGGUGCGUUCUCUCCUCCAGAUUGGGCGUCAGACGUUUGCUGGAUGAUCACGGUAACAGCCCCUGUGUAGCCCAUCUGAAGUUGGAUACCUGAUAGGGGAACUCACCUACUGAAGGGCCGGUGUUGUGUGAGUAGCAGCAGUGCUCGAAAGAGUGGACGAGGACAGCAAGCCUUGAGAGAGGGGCCCUCGAGCAGCGAGGCAUUCUUCCUCCCGGGUUUCAGCACCAAUGAAAGAAUGAUCAAGGCUUGCCAUCGGAGAAAAUGCCCGUUUAUUGAGGAAAGCUCUGCAUAUUUAUAGAGCCGGGGGUGGUUUGGCAGUUGGCAUAAGGUGCUUUUUUAUUGGUGGGUAAGGAUCAGGUGAGCCAGCAGGUCUAGUCUGAUUGGUGGGUAAGGAUCAGGUGAGCCAGCAGGGCUCACCUUUGGACAGCUCUUCUUGGGGGAUGGGGAAGUUAGUCUUUGGAGCCUGGGCGACUCCCAACAAAGACCACAUUGAAUUGAAUCCCCGUUACGAGCUACAAGGAGGUAUGACUAGGUGGGACAAUUAAGAGGCAAAAGGUAUGUGAAGGUUCUGCCCCCAUGAACGGAUUAGGGAUUAGAUGAGUCUGUUACAAAACCCAAGUUGCCUAUGUG
This 678-nucleotide long non-coding RNA is filed under the name Marmota monax (woodchuck). The record is from RNAcentral. Lineage: Eukaryota; Metazoa; Chordata; Mammalia; Rodentia; Sciuridae.